RNAcentral lists this ribosomal RNA (2894 nucleotides) under human gut metagenome. RNAcentral describes it as "bacterial LSU rRNA". It matches the Rfam family "Bacterial large subunit ribosomal RNA". The record is from RNAcentral.
ACUAAGCGUACACGGUGGAUGCCCUGGCAGUCAGAGGCGAUGAAGGACGUGCUAAUCUGCGAUAAGCGUCGGUAAGGUGAUAUGAACCGUUAUAACCGGCGAUUUCCGAAUGGGGAAACCCAGUGUGAUUCGUCACACUAUCAUUAACUGAAUCCAUAGGUUAAUGAGGCGAACCGGGGGAACUGAAACAUCUAAGUACCCCGAGGAAAAGAAAUCAACCGAGAUUCCCCCAGUAGCGGCGAGCGAACGGGGAGCAGCCCAGAGCCUGAAUCAGUGUGUGUGUUAGUGGAAGCGUCUGGAAAGGCGCGCGAUACAGGGUGACAGCCCCGUACACAAAAAUGCACAUGCUGUGAGCUCGAUGAGUAGGGCGGGACACGUGGUAUCCUGUCUGAAUAUGGGGGGACCAUCCUCCAAGGCUAAAUACUCCUGACUGACCGAUAGUGAACCAGUACCGUGAGGGAAAGGCGAAAAGAACCCCGGCGAGGGGAGUGAAAAAGAACCUGAAACCGUGUACGUACAAGCAGUGGGAGCCUCUUUAUGGGGUGACUGCGUACCUUUUGUAUAAUGGGUCAGCGACUUAUAUUCUGUAGCAAGGUUAACCGAAUAGGGGAGCCGAAGGGAAACCGAGUCUUAACUGGGCGUUAAGUUGCAGGGUAUAGACCCGAAACCCGGUGAUCUAGCCAUGGGCAGGUUGAAGGUUGGGUAACACUAACUGGAGGACCGAACCGACUAAUGUUGAAAAAUUAGCGGAUGACUUGUGGCUGGGGGUGAAAGGCCAAUCAAACCGGGAGAUAGCUGGUUCUCCCCGAAAGCUAUUUAGGUAGCGCCUCGUGAAUUCAUCUCCGGGGGUAGAGCACUGUUUCGGCAAGGGGGUCAUCCCGACUUACCAACCCGAUGCAAACUGCGAAUACCGGAGAAUGUUAUCACGGGAGACACACGGCGGGUGCUAACGUCCGUCGUGAAGAGGGAAACAACCCAGACCGCCAGCUAAGGUCCCAAAGUCAUGGUUAAGUGGGAAACGAUGUGGGAAGGCCCAGACAGCCAGGAUGUUGGCUUAGAAGCAGCCAUCAUUUAAAGAAAGCGUAAUAGCUCACUGGUCGAGUCGGCCUGCGCGGAAGAUGUAACGGGGCUAAACCAUGCACCGAAGCUGCGGCAGCGACGCUUAUGCGUUGUUGGGUAGGGGAGCGUUCUGUAAGCCUGCGAAGGUGUGCUGUGAGGCAUGCUGGAGGUAUCAGAAGUGCGAAUGCUGACAUAAGUAACGAUAAAGCGGGUGAAAAGCCCGCUCGCCGGAAGACCAAGGGUUCCUGUCCAACGUUAAUCGGGGCAGGGUGAGUCGACCCCUAAGGCGAGGCCGAAAGGCGUAGUCGAUGGGAAACAGGUUAAUAUUCCUGUACUUGGUGUUACUGCGAAGGGGGGACGGAGAAGGCUAUGUUGGCCGGGCGACGGUUGUCCCGGUUUAAGCGUGUAGGCUGGUUUUCCAGGCAAAUCCGGAAAAUCAAGGCUGAGGCGUGAUGACGAGGCACUACGGUGCUGAAGCAACAAAUGCCCUGCUUCCAGGAAAAGCCUCUAAGCAUCAGGUAACAUCAAAUCGUACCCCAAACCGACACAGGUGGUCAGGUAGAGAAUACCAAGGCGCUUGAGAGAACUCGGGUGAAGGAACUAGGCAAAAUGGUGCCGUAACUUCGGGAGAAGGCACGCUGAUAUGUAGGUGAAGCGACUUGCUCGUGGAGCUGAAAUCAGUCGAAGAUACCAGCUGGCUGCAACUGUUUAUUAAAAACACAGCACUGUGCAAACACGAAAGUGGACGUAUACGGUGUGACGCCUGCCCGGUGCCGGAAGGUUAAUUGAUGGGGUUAGCGGUAACGCGAAGCUCUUGAUCGAAGCCCCGGUAAACGGCGGCCGUAACUAUAACGGUCCUAAGGUAGCGAAAUUCCUUGUCGGGUAAGUUCCGACCUGCACGAAUGGCGUAAUGAUGGCCAGGCUGUCUCCACCCGAGACUCAGUGAAAUUGAACUCGCUGUGAAGAUGCAGUGUACCCGCGGCAAGACGGAAAGACCCCGUGAACCUUUACUAUAGCUUGACACUGAACAUUGAGCCUUGAUGUGUAGGAUAGGUGGGAGGCUUUGAAGUGUGGACGCCAGUCUGCAUGGAGCCGACCUUGAAAUACCACCCUUUAAUGUUUGAUGUUCUAACGUUGGCCCCUAAUCGGGGUUGCGGACAGUGUCUGGUGGGUAGUUUGACUGGGGCGGUCUCCUCCUAAAGAGUAACGGAGGAGCACGAAGGUUGGCUAAUCCUGGUCGGACAUCAGGAGGUUAGUGCAAUGGCAUAAGCCAGCUUGACUGCGAGCGUGACGGCGCGAGCAGGUGCGAAAGCAGGUCAUAGUGAUCCGGUGGUUCUGAAUGGAAGGGCCAUCGCUCAACGGAUAAAAGGUACUCCGGGGAUAACAGGCUGAUACCGCCCAAGAGUUCAUAUCGACGGCGGUGUUUGGCACCUCGAUGUCGGCUCAUCACAUCCUGGGGCUGAAGUAGGUCCCAAGGGUAUGGCUGUUCGCCAUUUAAAGUGGUACGCGAGCUGGGUUUAGAACGUCGUGAGACAGUUCGGUCCCUAUCUGCCGUGGGCGCUGGAGAACUGAGGGGGGCUGCUCCUAGUACGAGAGGACCGGAGUGGACGCAUCACUGGUGUUCGGGUUGUCAUGCCAAUGGCACUGCCCGGUAGCUAAAUGCGGAAGAGAUAAGUGCUGAAAGCAUCUAAGCACGAAACUUGCCCCGAGAUGAGUUCUCCCUGACUCCCUGAGAGUCCUGAAGGAACGUUGAAGACGACGACGUUGAUAGGCCGGGUGUGUAAGCGCAGCGAUGCGUUGAGCUAACCGGUACUAAUGAACCGUGAGGCUUAACC